Small nucleolar RNA from Dioscorea cayenensis subsp. rotundata (Guinea yam), 107 nucleotides. The record is from RefSeq and is a predicted model, not a curated record. Lineage: Eukaryota; Viridiplantae; Streptophyta; Magnoliopsida; Dioscoreales; Dioscoreaceae.
AAGCCAUGAUGAGGACACUCACGAAGAAGGUCUUUAAAUAGUUUAUGGGCUUCAAAGAGUGUCUCCGUAUCACCUUGCCUGAAAGACGAUAUCUCAUGUCUCAGUCU